RNAcentral lists this ribosomal RNA (496 nucleotides) under uncultured bacterium. RNAcentral's name for it is "partial 16S ribosomal RNA". It matches the Rfam family "Bacterial small subunit ribosomal RNA", at positions 28 to 507 of the family's 1533-position model. The record is from RNAcentral.
GAUGAACGCUGGCGGCGUGCCUAAUACAUGCAAGUCGAGCGAACAGACGAGGAUCUUGCUCCUCUGACGUUAGCGGCGGACGGGUGAGUAACACGUGGAUAACCUACCUAUAAGACUGGGAUAACUUCGGGAAACCGGAGCUAAUACCGGAUAAUAUAUUGAACCGCAUGGUUCAAUAGUGAGAGACGGUUUUGCUGUCACUUAUAGAUGGAUCGCGCCGCAUUAGCUAGUUGGUAAGGUAACGGCUUACCAAGGCAACGAUGCGUAGCCGACCUGAGAGGGUGAUCGGCCACACUGGAACUGAGACACGGUCCAGACUCCUACGGGAGGCAGCAGUAGGGAAUCUUACGCAAUGGGCGAAAGCCUGACGGAGCAACGCCGCGUGAGUGAUGAAGGUCUUCGGAUCGUAAAACUCUGUUAUUAGGGAAGAACAAAUGUGUAAGUAACUAUGCACGUCUUGACGGUACCUAAUCAGAAAGCCACGGCUAACUACGUG